RNAcentral lists this ribosomal RNA (483 nucleotides) under uncultured bacterium. Its description in RNAcentral is "partial 16S ribosomal RNA". It matches the Rfam family "Bacterial small subunit ribosomal RNA", at positions 29 to 507 of the family's 1533-position model. The record is from RNAcentral.
UUGCACGCUGGCGGCAUGCUUUACCCCUGCAAGUCGAACGGCAGCGCGGGCUUCGGCCUGGCGGCGAGUGGCGAACGGGUGAGUAAUACAUCGGAACGUGCCCAGUAGUGGGGGAUAGCUCGGCGAAAGCCGGAUUAAUACCGCAUACGACCUGAGGGUGAAAGCGGGGGAUCUUCGGACCUCGCGCUAUUGGAGCGGCCGAUGGCAGAUUAGCUAGUUGGUGGGGUAAAGGCCUACCAAGGCGACGAUCUGUAGCUGGUCUGAGAGGACGACCAGCCACACUGGGACUGAGACACGGCCCAGACUCCUACGGGAGGCAGCAGUGGGGAAUCUUGGACAAUGGGCGAAAGCCUGAUCCAGCAAUGCCGCGUGUGUGAUGAAGGCCUUCGGGUUGUAAAGCACUUUUGGCGGGAACGAAAAGGACUGUGCCAAUACCACGGUUCGAUGACGGUACCCGCAGAAUAAGCACCGGCUAACUACGUG